Molecule: ribosomal RNA, 484 nt
Filed under: uncultured bacterium
Lineage: Bacteria
Description: bacterial SSU rRNA
Rfam family: Bacterial small subunit ribosomal RNA
Source: RNAcentral
AGAGUUUGAUCAUGGCUCAGGACGAACGCUGGCGGCGUGCUUAACACAUGCAAGUCGAACGAUGAAGCCCAGCUUGCUGGGUGGAUUAGUGGCGAACGGGUGAGUAACACGUGGGUGAUCUGCCCUGCACUCUGGGAUAAGCCUGGGAAACUGGGUCUAAUACCGGAUAUGACCUCUUGCUGCAUGGCGAGGGUGGAAAGUUUUCGGUGCAGGAUGAGCCCGCGGCCUAUCAGCUUGUUGGUGGGGUAAUGGCCUACCAAGGGCGACGACGGGUAGCCGGCCUGAGAGGGCGACCGGCCACACUGGGACUGAGACACGGCCCAGACUCCUACGGGAGGCAGCAGUGGGGAAUAUUGCACAAUGGGCGAAGGCCUGAUGCAGCGACGCCGCGUGAGGGAUGACGGCCUUCGGGUUGUAAACCUCUUUCAGCAGGGACGAAGCGAAAGUGACGGCACCUGCAGAAGAAGCACCGGCCAACUACGUG